This 440-nucleotide ribosomal RNA is filed under the name uncultured bacterium. Its description in RNAcentral is "partial 16S ribosomal RNA". It matches the Rfam family "Bacterial small subunit ribosomal RNA", at positions 338 to 795 of the family's 1533-position model. The record is from RNAcentral.
CCUACGGGUGGCAGCAGUGGGGAAUAUUGCACAAUGGGGGAGACCCUGAUGCAGCGACGCCGCGUGAGGGAAGAAGUAUUUCGGUGUGGAAAGCUCUGUCAGCAGGGAAGAAAAUGACGGUACCUGACCAAGAAGCCCCGGCUAACUACGUGCCAGCAGCCGCGGUAAUACGUAGGGGGCAAGCGUUAUCCGGAUUUACUGGGUGUAAAGGGAGCGUAGACGGCAGGGCAAGUCUGGAGUGAAAGGCGGGGGCUCAACCCGCGGACUGCUAUGGAAACUGCCAGGCUGGAGUGCAGGAGAGGUAAGUGGAAUUCCUAGUGUAGCGGUGAAAUGCGUAGAUAUUAGGAGGAACCCCAGUGGCGAAGGCGGCUUACUGGACUGUAACUGACGUUGAGGCUCGAAAGUGUGGGGAGCAAACAGGAUUAGAUACCCGAGUAGUC